CUCUUGGGCACAGUUUUAAAAAAAAAAAGGAAAAGAAGCAGAGAAGAGACAGCAUUACCUCUGCAAAAACAUCACACCCUGAAAUUACAACACUGGGCGGGAAGUUAGAGGCCUUUACUUUCUUCUCUAGCCUGGAGUUGAGAUCGGCCAGUGACACCUCAGACAGCACCAAGAAGGAGCUGGCAUCUGAGUAGGCAACCUAAGGAAACACAGAA
This is a long non-coding RNA of Dipodomys spectabilis (banner-tailed kangaroo rat), 215 nucleotides long. RefSeq lists it as uncharacterized. Lineage: Eukaryota; Metazoa; Chordata; Mammalia; Rodentia; Heteromyidae. The transcript has 3 exons. The record is from RefSeq and is a predicted model, not a curated record.